UUGGGGGAGAGAUCUGGGAAUAAAAUUAAAGUAGUACCAGAGAGCAUGAGGGCAGCUACAGACUUGGGGGUUGACGAUAACAAAGAUAGUCUCUUUCUACAUUACUAGGAUGAAAAGAAACCACAGUUCUAGGAGCAUAACUGACUCUCCAGAAGCCAUCAUUGUCCAUCAUCAGGUGGCAGGGAGCCUUCAGGACCAGGAGUCAGCAGCUAGAUGCUAUUACCUGCCAGAGCUAGGUCUUUUUUAGUGCAUCAUCAAAAAAGACAGUUGUUCAUACAACAAACAUCUAUUAAGCUUCAACUGUGAUUUCUGAAGUAAAAUGUUUUGGGACCUUCCCUCCGGAGAAUUUGGAAAUAAAGCAAGGUAUUUGCCAUAAGAGAAAUGACUAGCUAAGCAAAUGCUCUGUGCUCUUACAAUCCUUUGUGAAAGUUACUUUUGAAACUGGGAAAAGAAGCUUUUGCCCACACCUGGGCUUGAGUUUUAAAGGGAAACAAUCUCCAUGGAGGCCAGGCCUUGUGG
Molecule: long non-coding RNA, 519 nt
Organism: Molossus molossus (Pallas's mastiff bat)
Lineage: Eukaryota; Metazoa; Chordata; Mammalia; Chiroptera; Molossidae
Exons: 3
Source: RefSeq, a predicted model, not a curated record